CAGGGAAGAAGCGAAAGUGACGGUACCUGCAGAGGAAGCGCCGGCUAACUACGUGCCAGCAGCCGCGGUAAUACGUAGGGCGCAAGCGUUGUCCGGAAUUAUUGGGCGUAAAGAGCUUGUAGGCGGCUUGUCGCGUCUGCUGUGAAAACCCGGGGCUUAACCCCGGGCUUGCAGUGGGUACGGGCAGGCUAGAGUGUGGUAGGGGAGACUGGAAUUCCUGGUGUAGCGGUGGAAUGCGCAGAUAUCAGGAGGAACACCGAUGGCGAAGGCAGGUCUCUGGGCCAUUACUGACGCUGAGAAGCGAAAGCGUGGGGAGCGAACAGGAUUAGAUACCCUGGUAGUCCACGCCGUAAACGUUGGGCGCUAGGUGUGGGUCCCAUUCCACGGGGUCCGUGCCGCAGCUAACGCAUUAAGCGCCCCGCCUGGGGAGUACGGCCGCAAGGCUAAAACUCAAAGGAAUUGACGGGGGCCCGCACAAGCGGCGGAGCAUGCGGAUUAAUUCGAUGCAACGCGAAGAACCUUACCAAGGCUUGACAUGUACCGGUAACCCUCGGAGACGGGGGCCCCGCAAGGUCGGUACACAGGUGGUGCAUGGUUGUCGUCAGCUCGUGUCGUGAGAU
This 620-nucleotide ribosomal RNA is filed under the name uncultured Ornithinimicrobium sp. Its description in RNAcentral is "bacterial SSU rRNA". It matches the Rfam family "Bacterial small subunit ribosomal RNA", at positions 440 to 1073 of the family's 1533-position model. The record is from RNAcentral. Lineage: Bacteria; Bacillati; Actinomycetota; Actinomycetes; Micrococcales; Ornithinimicrobiaceae.